UACGGAGGGGGCUAGCGUUGUUCGGAAUUACUGGGCGUAAAGCGCGCGUAGGCUGCUUGGAAAGUCGGGGGUGAAAUCCCGGGGCUCAACCUCGGAACUGCCUUUAAAACUGCCAUUCUGGAGUUCGGGAGAGGUGAGUGGAAUUCCGAGUGUAGAGGUGAAAUUCGUAGAUAUUGGGAGGAACACCAGUGGCGAAGGCGGCUCACUGGCUCGUUACUGACGCUGAGGUACGAAAGCGUGGGGAGCAAACAGG
RNAcentral lists this ribosomal RNA (253 nucleotides) under uncultured bacterium. RNAcentral's name for it is "partial 16S ribosomal RNA". It matches the Rfam family "Bacterial small subunit ribosomal RNA", at positions 524 to 776 of the family's 1533-position model. The record is from RNAcentral.